UUAUCUGGGCCAUUUGGCUAAGAUCAAGUGUAGUAUAUGUUCUUGUCAGUUUAAUAUCUGAUACUUGGUGCCAUUGGCCCAUGUGAUAUUAACUUUAUUUUUCAAUGAGGUGAGUCCGCCACGUCAGCUUGCUGAUUGGCUCCCACGUGUCACCUUCAUCUUGCACUACUGCGAGGUCUUGCACACCUCAC
Non-coding RNA from Arabidopsis thaliana x Arabidopsis arenosa, 191 nucleotides. NCBI's taxonomy places the organism in Eukaryota, Viridiplantae, Streptophyta, Magnoliopsida, Brassicales, Brassicaceae. The record is from the annotation of a GenBank genome assembly.